Molecule: small nucleolar RNA, 226 nt
Organism: Abrus precatorius (Indian licorice)
Lineage: Eukaryota; Viridiplantae; Streptophyta; Magnoliopsida; Fabales; Fabaceae
Product: small nucleolar RNA U3
Exons: 1
Source: RefSeq, a predicted model, not a curated record
ACGACCUUACUUGAACGGGAUCUGUUCUAUAGGCUCGUACCUCUGUUUCCUUGAGUUCUGAGGAGACAGGAACCUACGUCUGGUGGAUGAAUCAAGACCGUUUGAUCAGAGCGUGAUUAUUGGCUCGGUAAACCCUUUCUUAGGAAAAGGCUCAUCUUGGGCUGCAGAGGAUCGUUCUCAGACAAAUUCAUCUGCCUGGGAUGGUCACUCGGUUGUCUGACAGACC